Molecule: non-coding RNA, 401 nt
Organism: Labeo rohita (rohu)
Lineage: Eukaryota; Metazoa; Chordata; Actinopteri; Cypriniformes; Cyprinidae
Source: the annotation of a RefSeq genome assembly
ACAACAUUAUGUGGGUCUAUUUGCUGUUGCUCCUUUCAGCACUUGCAGGAGACUCUCUUGGUGAGCUAAUAAUGUCUCAUGGUUCUGACAAACAAGCUGAAGAUGGCAACCGUGUUACUAUGUCCUGCAACUACAGUGGUACUGUGUACAAUCUACUGUGGUACCGUCAAUAUCAAAAAUCAAAACCAGAACUCCUGCUCUCCAUCACUGAAUCUGGAGAUCCAGUUAAAGAAGAUCCAUCAGCAGACUGGUUAUCUGCUAAAGUUGACAAACACAGAAAGCUCAUGGAACUGGAAAUCAGCCCUGCUGAAGUAAAAGACUCUGCAUGGUAUUACUGUGCCCUGGUGCCCACAGUGACAGGAAACCCCUUUCCUCUGCACAAAAUCUUGCCAGUGAUAUAG